This 292-nucleotide ribosomal RNA is filed under the name uncultured bacterium. Its description in RNAcentral is "partial 16S ribosomal RNA". The record is from RNAcentral.
GGACUACAAGGGUUUCUAAUCCUGUUUGCUCCCCACGCUUUCGCGCUUAAGCGUCAGUAACGGGCCAAAGAGCCGCCUUCGCAACCGGUGUUCCUCUCGAGAUCUACGCAUUUUACCGCUACUCCGAGAAUUCCACUCUUCUCUCCCGUACUCUAGCCUCCCAGUCUCAAUCGCAUGUGCCCGGUUAAGCCGGGCGAUUUAACAACUGACUUAAGAAACCGCCUACACGCUCUUUACACCCAGUUAUUCCGAAUAACGCUCGCACCCUUCGUAUUACCGCGGCGGCUGGCAC